ACGAAGGGGGCUAGCGUUGUUCGGAAUGACUGGGCGUAAAGGGCGCGUAGGCGGUUGAUCAAGUUGGGGGUGAAAGCCCGGGGCUUAACCUCGGAAUUGCCUUCAAGACUGGUCAGCUAGAGUGUCGAAGAGGGAUGUGGAAUUCCCAGUGUAGAGGUGAAAUGCGUAGAUAUUGGGAAGAACACCAGUGGCGAAGGCGGCAUCCUGGCCCACAACUGACGCUCAUGUGCGAAAGCUUGGGGAGCAAACAG
This 251-nucleotide ribosomal RNA is filed under the name uncultured prokaryote. Its description in RNAcentral is "partial 16S rRNA". It matches the Rfam family "Bacterial small subunit ribosomal RNA", at positions 525 to 775 of the family's 1533-position model. The record is from RNAcentral.